This 115-nucleotide ribosomal RNA is filed under the name Lejeunea mimula. Its description in RNAcentral is "partial 5.8S ribosomal RNA". It matches the Rfam family "5.8S ribosomal RNA", at positions 41 to 154 of the family's 154-position model. Rfam says of the family: 5.8S ribosomal RNA (5.8S rRNA) is a component of the large subunit of the eukaryotic ribosome. The record is from RNAcentral. Lineage: Eukaryota; Viridiplantae; Streptophyta; Jungermanniopsida; Porellales; Lejeuneaceae.
GAACGCAGCGAAAUGCGAUACCUAGUGUGAAUUGCAGAAUUCCGCGAAUCAUCGAGUUUUUGAACGCAAGUUGCGCCCGAGGCUCGUCCGAGGGCAUGCCUGCCUGAGCGUCCUC